RNAcentral lists this ribosomal RNA (1256 nucleotides) under metagenome. Its description in RNAcentral is "bacterial LSU rRNA". It matches the Rfam family "Bacterial large subunit ribosomal RNA", at positions 1689 to 2925 of the family's 2925-position model. The record is from RNAcentral.
CCAGAGAGAACUCGGGUGAAGGAACUAGGCAAAAUGGCACCGUAACUUCGGGAGAAGGUGCGCCGGUGAGGGUGAAGGACUUGCUCCGUAAGCCCAUGCCGGUCGAAGAUACCAGGCCGCUGCGACUGUUUAUUAAAAACACAGCACUCUGCAAACACGAAAGUGGACGUAUAGGGUGUGACGCCUGCCCGGUGCCGGAAGGUUAAUUGAUGGGGUUAGCUAACGCGAAGCUCUUGAUCGAAGCCCCGGUAAACGGCGGCCGUAACAAUAACGGUCCUAAGGUAGCGAAAUUCCUUGUCGGGUAAGUUCCGACCUGCACGAAUGGCGUAACGAUGGCGGCGCUGUCUCCACCCGAGACUCAGUGAAAUUGAAAUCGCUGUGAAGAUGCAGUGUAUCCGCGGCUAGACGGAAAGACCCCGUGAACCUUUACUAUAGCUUUGCACUGGACUUUGAAUUUGCUUGUGUAGGAUAGGUGGGAGGCUUUGAAGCGUGGACGCCAGUUCGCGUGGAGCCAACCUUGAAAUACCACCCUGGCAACUUUGAGGUUCUAACUCAGGUCCGUUAUCCGGAUCGAGGACAGUGUAUGGUGGGUAGUUUGACUGGGGCGGUCUCCUCCUAAAGAGUAACGGAGGAGUACGAAGGUGCGCUCAGACCGGUCGGAACUCGGUCGUAGAGUAUAAAGGCAAAAGCGCGCUUGACUGCGAGACAGACACGUCGAGCAGGUACGAAAGUAGGUCUUAGUGAUCCGGUGGUUCUGUAUGGAAGGGCCAUCGCUCAACGGAUAAAAGGUACUCCGGGGAUAACAGGCUGAUACCGCCCAAGAGUUCAUAUCGACGGCGGUGUUUGGCACCUCGAUGUCGGCUCAUCACAUCCUGGGGCUGAAGCCGGUCCCAAGGGUAUGGCUGUUCGCCAUUUAAAGUGGUACGCGAGCUGGGUUUAGAACGUCGUGAGACAGUUCGGUCCCUAUCUGCCGUGGACGUUUGAGAUUUGAGAGGGGCUGCUCCUAGUACGAGAGGACCGGAGUGGACGAACCUCUGGUGUUCCGGUUGUCACGCCAGUGGCAUUGCCGGGUAGCUAUGUUCGGAAUAGAUAACCGCUGAAAGCAUCUAAGCGGGAAACUAGCCUCAAGAUGAGAUCUCACUGGGACCUUGAGUCCCCUGAAGGGCCGUCGAAGACUACGACGUUGAUAGGUUGGGUGUGUAAGCGCUGUGAGGCGUUGAGCUAACCAAUACUAAUUGCCCGUGAGGCUUGAAAAA